AAGUCGUCGAAUUUGUGGCCCAUAACAGAUAGUGGGAAAGAUACAGGCAUCAAUUAUGAAUAUAAUCAUCCAAUUGCUACACUAUUCAUGAUAAACUUGUUUUUCGUUUCUUUCUUAUAAAAAAUUAUCUUCUUCUUGAGAUUGAGUGAAAUGGCUGCUUAUGGAGCUUUAGUUUCCGUGGUGAAUAUUAUUGAUCAACUACAAAAUCAUCCACACCCUCCUAUUUGCAUCCACCAAAAACAGAUUGAAUCUCUCACUCAAGCAGUUACAUCCUUGCAACAUGUUCUUGAAAGCUAUUCGCCCCAAGGUGGCUACACCAAGGAUGAAGAUUAUUGGGAGAGUCGCAUUGCUGAAGCAGCUUACGAUGCUGAAGAUGUGAUCGAGUCUUAUAUUGUCGAUCAAAUUCAUGUUCGAGCAAGAAAUGAUGUAGAAAACAUCAGCUCCGCUGAAUUCUAUCAAGGUCUGCAGAAGUGAUCGAAAAUAUGAAUUUGAUCAAGAUUGAGAUUAAAGAGAAGAUGGUAGUUCAAGAUCAACUCCACAUCAUAAAGUCUAUGAGCACUGCUGCUGUUGCAGGCUCGUGUAGAUCUGCUUCCGCUGCUCAUAAGGUUACAAUGGUUGGUUUUGAUGAUGUCUUUGAUCAAAUGCUGGACAAGAUCACUGGAGGACUCGCUCGUCAAAUUAUCCCGAUUGUUGGAAUGGGUGGGAUAGGCAAUUGCUUGGAAUAUCUAUGUGAGUCCACUCAUCCAAGAACAUUUUGAUGUUUGUGCGUGGUGUACAAUUUCUCAAGAGUAUAAUGCAAGAGAAAUUCUUAGACAAGUUCUUGAUCAAGUAGAUAAGAAGGAUAAGGAGAACAACAGGAAGGAUUUGAGUGAAGAUGAGUUAGGUGAUCAUUUGUACAAAUAUUUGAUAGGAAGAAAGUAUGUUAUUGUGAUGGAUGAUAUUUGGAAUAUUGAGGCAUGGGAUUGUGUUAGGAGAUUCUUUCCAGAUAAUAGGAAUGCGAGUAGAAUAGUAGGAACAACAAGGCUAUCAAACUUGGCAUCCCAAUUUAACUACUCCAAUGGUCUUGAUUUGAAAUUUUUGGAUGAGGAUGCUGUGUUUGGGGAUGAAACUUGCUGGCUUGAGUUGGAGGAGAUGGGAAAGAAGAUUGUGAAAGGUUGUAAAGGACUUCCAUUGUCUAUUGCUAUGAUAGGAGGACCCUUGUCAAAGUCUGAAAGAACAAAAGAAAAUUGGCAAUUGUAUGAUAGUAAAUAUUUAAGUUCAAUUGUGAAUUUGGAUGAUAAUGAGAGUUGCUCGCAAGUAGUAUACAUGAGUUAUAAUAAGUUGCCGAUUCAUUUAAAACCAUGUUAUCUCUAUAUGGGAAGAUAUGGUGAGAUGAAGAGAUUUGUAUCAAUGAGUUAAUCUUAUUCUUUAUUGCCGAGGGAUUUAUAAAACCAAUGAAUGGGAAGAGUGUGGAAGAGGCAACAACAGAGUAUGUAGAAGAAGUUAUUGAUAGAAAUAUGCUUAUUGUUGAAAAUUGCUAUCAUGAGAAACUACUAUCAUUCAAAAUGUUGAGGGAUGUAUGUUUGAGAGAAGCUCAAAAAUUGAAGUUUUUAUGUGUGUUGAUUCCAAAAGCCAUAAAUUCUCAACGACGCAGGUUAAAAGAAGAUAAAUAUUCAACUCCACUCAUUCAAAACCUAGACACACUUUCUAGGGUGUCCAAUCUCAAGUUCUCAAGAGAAUACCACCCAAUAUCAAAACGUAGGUGAUAUUAUACUAUGAAAGGAAAGAUGAUCUCAACAAUGUUUGCUACCUUCACAAACUUGAAUAUCUUCCCAUAUAAUACGGCAACUCAGCUUCCCUCAUUCCCUCAAGACAUGAAGACAAAAAUAGGUUUGUUGCCGCUUCUUCAAUUUCUCAUUCUGGAAGAGAACUUCUUUCUGUGGGCAUGAGUGGGAAACUCUUGAAGACCAAGUUCUUGUUGAUUUAGAGUCGAGUGUUGGAUCACAGACAAUACCCACUUUCCACGCGGUUAAGAGAGAUUCCUUCAUGCAUGGGAUGUUCAUACCAACACUCCACUCAAUUGACGUGAAAUAUUGUAGUGAUUCUGCGAAAAUAAUAAAGGAGGAGCAAGAGGAACUCGGCAAUGAAGACCUUCAAAUCAUUAUUAAACGCAGAAUUCAUAAGUAAGAAGCAGUUCCAUGCGGAAGAGAUAAGUAUGCCUGAGAUUGAAGAGCUCAGAAUGGUUACAAAAAUUGUGUUAUAAGCACAGGCCUGGCCAGGCCUCCUCUAUGAAUUUCUUGGGUGUCAACUUUUUACUAAUUUAUUAUUGGUAUCAAAUAGUCCAAUUUGGUCUAACAUAGCAUAGCUCCUGUACUGAAAGUGUAGACAAAGUGGACCAAACUGAAAUUUUCAAGUGAUCCUUCAUCGGUGAAGAUCCACCAAUUAGUUCAGGUUUCAUUCUACUGAAG
Salvia splendens (bonfire salvia) is the source of this 2447-nucleotide RNA transcript. RefSeq lists it as uncharacterized. Lineage: Eukaryota; Viridiplantae; Streptophyta; Magnoliopsida; Lamiales; Lamiaceae. The transcript has 3 exons. The record is from RefSeq and is a predicted model, not a curated record.